This 322-nucleotide ribosomal RNA is filed under the name uncultured bacterium. RNAcentral describes it as "bacterial SSU rRNA". It matches the Rfam family "Bacterial small subunit ribosomal RNA", at positions 28 to 346 of the family's 1533-position model. The record is from RNAcentral.
GACGAACGCUGGCGGUGUGCCUCACACAUGCAAGUCGAGCGGAUUUACUUAGGAGCUUGCUCUUAAGUAAGUUAGCGGCGGACGGGUGAGUAAUGCGUAGGAAUCUACCCUAAGGUAGGGGAUAACGGGCUGAAAGGUCCGCUAAUACCCCAUAUGCGGGUUCUCUUCGGAGGAUUCGUGAAAGGAGCAAUUCGCCUUUGGAUGAGCCUGCGUCCGAUUAGCUAGUUGGUAAGGUAAAAGCUACCAAGGCUUCGAUCGGUAGUUGGUCUGAGAGGAUGAUCAGCCACAAUGGGACUGAGACACGGCCCAUACUCCUACGGGA